Molecule: ribosomal RNA, 234 nt
Filed under: uncultured bacterium
Lineage: Bacteria
Description: partial 16S ribosomal RNA
Rfam family: Bacterial small subunit ribosomal RNA
Source: RNAcentral
CGGACGGGUGAGUAACGCGUGGGUAACCUGCCUCACACUGGGGACAACAGUUAGAAAUGACUGCUAAUACCGCAUAAGCGCACAGGAUCGCAUGGUCCGGUGUGAAAAACUCCGGUGGUGUGAGAUGGACCCGCGUUUGAUUAGCUAGUUGGUGGGGUAACGGCCUACCAAGGCGACGAUCAAUAGCCGACCUGAGAGGGUGACCGGCCACAUUGGGACUGAGACACGGCCCAA